UACGAAGGGGGCGAGCGUUGUUCGGAAUUACUGGGCGUAAAGGGCGCGUAGGCGGCGAUCCUAGUCAGAUGUGAAAGUCCUGGGCUUAACCUGGGGACUGCAUUUGAUACUGGAUUGCUUGAAUUCGGGAGAGGAUAGCGGAAUUCCCAGUGUAGAGGUGAAAUUCGUAGAUAUUGGGAAGAACAUCGGUGGCGAAGGCGGCUAUCUGGACCGACAUUGACGCUGAGGCGCGAAAGCGUGGGGAGCAAACAGG
RNAcentral lists this ribosomal RNA (253 nucleotides) under uncultured bacterium. RNAcentral's name for it is "partial 16S ribosomal RNA". It matches the Rfam family "Bacterial small subunit ribosomal RNA", at positions 524 to 776 of the family's 1533-position model. The record is from RNAcentral.